Molecule: ribosomal RNA, 922 nt
Filed under: Clostridioides difficile
Lineage: Bacteria; Bacillati; Bacillota; Clostridia; Peptostreptococcales; Peptostreptococcaceae
Description: partial 23S ribosomal RNA
Rfam family: Bacterial large subunit ribosomal RNA
Source: RNAcentral
AUCGUCAGCUAAGGUCCCUAAAUGUAAGUUAAGUGGUAAAGGAUGUGGGAUUGCACAGACAACCAGGAUGUUGGCUUAGAAGCAGCCACUCAUUCAAAGAGUGCGUAAUAGCUCACUGGUCGAGUGAUCCUGCGCCGAAGAUUUCCGGGGCUAAAACUUACUACCGAAGCUACGGCAUCAGUAAUGAUGGGUAGGGGAGCUUCCCAUACGGGUUGAAGCAUGACCGUAAGGACAUGUGGACAGUAUGGGAGUGAGAAUGUUGGCAUGAGUAGCGAGAUGUGGGUGAGAAUCCCACAGGCCGUAAACCCAAGGUUUCCAGGGGAAGGUUCGUCCGCCCUGGGUUAGUCGGGACCUAAGCUGAGGCCGAAAGGCGUAGGUGAUGGACAACAGGUUGAUAUUCCUGUACUACCGAUAACCGUUUGAGAGAAGGGAUGACACAGUAGGAUAAGCUAAGCACACUGUUGGUUAUGUGUGCCCAAGCAUUGAGGCAGUCAAAGUAGGUAAAUCCGCUUUGAUAAUGCUGGGAUGUGAUGGGGAGCGAAAUUUAGUAGCGAAGUAGCUGAUUUCACACUGUCAAGAAAAGUCUCUAUCGAGGUUAAAGGUACCCGUACCGCAAACCGACACAGGUGGGUGAGGAGAGUAUCCUAAGGCCAGCGAGAGAACUGUUGUUAAGGAACUCGGCAAAAUGACCCCGUAACUUAGGGAUAAGGGGUGCCACCAUCAGGUGGCCGCAGAGAAUAGGCCCAAGCGACUGUUUACCAAAAACAUAGGUUUCUGCUAAGUCGCAAGACGAUGUAUAGGAGCUGACGCCUGCCCGGUGCUGGAAGGUUAAGGGGAUCUGUUAGAGCAAUCGAAGCAGUGAACUUAAGCCCCAGUAAACGGCGGCCGUAACUAUAACGGUCCUAAGGUAGCGAAAUUCCUU